UAGCAUAUCAAUAAGCGGAGGAAAAGAAACCAACAGGGAUUGCCCUAGUAACGGCGAGUGAAGCGGCAACAGCUCAAAUUUGAAAUCUGGCUCUUUUAGGGUCCGAGUUGUAAUUUGCAGAGAGCGCUUUGGCGUUGGCAGCGGUCCAAGUUCUUUGGAACAGGACGUCACAGAGGGUGAGAAUCCCGUACGUGGUCGCUAGCCUUCGCCGUGUAAAGCCUCUUCGACGAGUCGAGUUGUUUGGGAAUGCAGCUCUAAAUGGGAGGUAAAUUUCUUCUAAAGCUAAAUACUGGCCAGAGACCGAUAGCGCACAAGUAGAGUGAUCGAAAGAUGAAAAGCACUUUGGAAAGAGAGUCAAAUAGCACGUGAAAUUGUUGAAAGGGAAGCGCUUGCAGCCAGACUUGCCUGUAGUUGCUUAUCCGGACUUUUGUCCGGUGCACUCUUCUGCGGGCAGGCCAGCAUCAGUUUAGGCGGUUGGAUAAAGGUCUCUAUCACGUACCUCCCUUCGGGGUUGGCCUUAUAGGGGAGACGACAUGCAGCCAGCCUGAACUGAGGUCCGCGCAUCUGCUAGGAUGCUGGCGUAAUGGCUGUAAGCGGCCCGUCUUGAAACACGGACCAAGGAGUCUAACAUCUAUGCGAGUGUUUGGGUGUCAAGCCCAGACGCGUAAUGAAAGUGAACGGAGGUGGGAACCUUUUAGGUGCACCAUCGACCGAUCCUGAUGUCUUCGGAUGGAUUUGAGUAAGAGCAUGGCUGUUGGGACCCGAAAGAUGGUGAACUAUGCUUGAAUAGGGUGAAGCCAGAGGAAACUCUGGUGGAGGCUCGCAGCGGUUCUGACGUGCAAAUCGAUCGUCAAAUUUGGGCAUAGGGGCGAAAGACUAAUCGAACUAUCUAGUAGCUGGUUCCUGCCGA
This 910-nucleotide ribosomal RNA is filed under the name Poaceicola italica. RNAcentral describes it as "partial 28S ribosomal RNA". It matches the Rfam family "Eukaryotic large subunit ribosomal RNA", at positions 36 to 964 of the family's 3401-position model. Lineage: Eukaryota; Fungi; Ascomycota; Dothideomycetes; Pleosporales; Phaeosphaeriaceae. The record is from RNAcentral.